This 386-nucleotide ribosomal RNA is filed under the name uncultured bacterium. RNAcentral describes it as "bacterial SSU rRNA". It matches the Rfam family "Bacterial small subunit ribosomal RNA", at positions 29 to 417 of the family's 1533-position model. The record is from RNAcentral.
ACGAACGCUGGCGGCGUGCUUAACACAUGCAAGUCGAGCGGUAAGGCCCUUUCGGGGGUACACGAGCGGCGAACGGGUGAGUAACACGUGGGUGACCUGCCCUCAGCUCUGGGAUAAGCCCGGGAAACUGGGUCUAAUACUGGAUAUUACUCUGCGGUGCAUGCCGUGGGGUGGAAAGCCUUGUGCGGCUGGGGAUGGGCCCGCGGCCUAUCAGCUUGUUGGUGGGGUGAUGGCCACCAAGGCGACGACGGGUAGCCGGCCUGAGAGGGCGACCGGCCACACUGGGACUGAGACACGGCCCAGACUCCUACGGGAGGCAGCAGUGGGGAAUCUUGCGCAAUGGGCGAAAGCCUGACGCAGCGACGCCGCGUGAGGGAUGACGGCCU